Molecule: long non-coding RNA, 2575 nt
Filed under: Apis florea (little honeybee)
Lineage: Eukaryota; Metazoa; Arthropoda; Insecta; Hymenoptera; Apidae
Description: uncharacterized LOC105736472
Source: RNAcentral
UUCUCUCUCUCUCUCUCUCUCUCUCUCUCUCUCUCUCUCUCUCUCUCUAUAACGAACAAAGAGAAACAAAGCAGAAUUCAGAAGAGGGGCGAAAGAUAGCGGAAGACGCUCGGGUCACGUAUGAAAGACGAUCGCGUAAAUAUGCGUUCCCAAACAAGUGAGUCGCGGUCGCGCUGAAAGAAAAAAAUAUCAACUGAAUUUUUUUCACGAAUUGGUGUUAAACGAAUGAGUGAGACACUUUUAUUUUCCACCGUAUGGCAACGGCAAUAUAUUUCGCUUUAGAUUAACGGAAAGUAAAAGCAAAAGGUAAUUAACAAAAUAGGAUAAGCUUUUUUUAAAAACCAAUAAAUUUGGAAGAAGAGAGGGUUCAAAAACGAUGGACAAAUUUAUCUUAUAAGAGAUUCAAAAUGACCUUGGCUCCUGAUGCAAUAUUCCGAACGGUACUUAAAGGAAUUCCAUCGACUAAAGGCAAGCGCGACGGAAAACCGGUUCCAAACCACACACCGUUUAAAUCUCUUCGAAAUAAUGUUAGUCCGUUUGUCCUUUUCUAACACACUCUUAUCGUGUCCGAAAUUGAAAAGAGGAAAAAAAAAAGAAAAAAAAAAAAAUUUCACUUCUCCAGAAAUUGGACUUGGACUAUUUGAUGAAGUCGAAUAAUUUCAAACGUAUCGUAUCGUAUAUUUUCACGCGUAAUAAUUGUGAUCGUAAUAAUUGAUCAUGACACAUGCGCAAGAACGAAGAGAAAAAGCUCGCUAUGAAUGACUAAUGCUAACAAAGAUUAAAAUAAUGAAGUAAUCUCUCCGUAAAAACUGAGAAUCUAUGCCGCGGCAUUGAGAUUAAUUCUCUCAAACGAGUUUCUUUGUUUUUUUUCUUCUUUUUUUUUUUUUAUGCAAUUGAACAGUGUUGUAACCAAUCGUAAUUAAAAUCAAAUGAAUCGAGCAAUCUUCUUAGAUAUUCGAAUAUUCUUUUCGAAAUUAUUCUUGUUGGGGAAAAACAAUUGUAUUUAACAUGAUAUUAAAAAAUUGCAAAACGAAUAUAUCGAUAUUUUAUACCGUGCAUACCUAUAUAUAUAUGCUUAUAACAGUUUUUAAUUAAUUCGAACAACGAAACACGAUAUGCACCUAAUGCCCUGAUUCUUUUCGAGAGGGAAUGACCUUAUCUGCAUAUGCAUAUAUUCGUCCCGAGUUUUUGGCACGCUUUCUUUAAAAAUCGCUUGAACGAUGCACACGGAAAUAGAAUAAGAGCGGAUAACGGACUUUUAAGGCUAAGUCAGUCGUUGUCACGAAAGAAUUUCACCCGAUUUUACCCGUGACAUCGUUACCAUCUCUCCAUCUCUCUCCAACCGAUCGUGAAAUAUUUCCAAAGAUCCUCGUUCCUUCCACUCGAGGUAAACGAUUUUCCCUCUCGUUCGCGCACCGUGCACGCCACGCGACGGUUGCUCUAUUGCGCAACUUGAAAAUGGUGACAGGAAGUUGACCAGCAGCCUGCCUGUAGAGAGGCGAUUAACUAUGUAUUUACUACACGAGUGAUCGAACUGACGAAUCGUGAAUAACGCAUUCGCGUAAAAGAAACAUUUCUACAGACACGUUGUUGAUUCAUUCCACAUUUUCUUUUACUGUUUUAUCCUGGAUAGACUGUAUGUAUGUAUAUAUACACGUACACAAGUUGGUACGAACAAGGAGAAAUUUACGUAACUUGACGCCGCGAAAAUGAGCGGAAAUCCGGUGAAUCGUAUCGACGGAGGACAAAUCUUUGGAUCGCGAGAUAGUUGGCAUGAUCGGGUUCCACGUAUCGCGGCAAGAUGAUCGAGCGCGGAUCCCAUGAAGGCGAAUUAAGGCCAGCGACGAAUGUGCCAUUUUCUAAAGGAGCAACUUCCGCCGAUUAACAACCGUAAUUGUUACACGCGAGAAUGGUUAUGAUAUCGGUUCAAUGAGAACCGAUGGCCAAACAAUUGAAACAAUUUCCGAUAAACUUCGUCACGCGUCUUGAAAUUCCAUCGAGAAAAUUGAUCGCGUGUAAUAAAUAAAGAAACGAAUCUUGUGAUAUAUGUUUUUUCUUUUUUCUUUUUUUUUUUUUGUACGUGUCUUAUCGCUCGCGAACAAAACGAAUGAGUCACUCGAUGCUCGCGAACGCUUACCUUCUUGUGCUUACCGAUGAAUCGCAAUGGAAACAAGGAAACUGAUGCCGAAAUAGAAAAAUUACUUACUUUAUAACUGCUUCUCGAACAAGAGACGGGAACGAAAGAGGGAAAGAGACAAAGCAGACAAAGAAUAACUAACGAGGAAACAAAGUGGUUUUAUACGAUUUCGUGACCUUGAGAAAAAAUUCCCAGUAUUUGAUUUUACUUCGUGAUUUUGUUACCAAGUCAAGACAUUUACGUCGGACAUGAUACGUUGAAAUAAAUAAGAAAAGAAUAAAAGAAACGGUUGAUUGCAUCGUAAAUUUCAAUCUUCAAUUCGUUUCCCGCUAAACAAAAAGAGUAAUUUGUAGAUCAAUAGAAUAGUAUUGAUCACGAGUUAAUUGCUUAGUCUUUCUUAAAUGACUUCAAUAAUACAUUAGAACGAUAAAAAAAAAA